RNAcentral lists this ribosomal RNA (497 nucleotides) under uncultured bacterium. RNAcentral's name for it is "bacterial SSU rRNA". It matches the Rfam family "Bacterial small subunit ribosomal RNA", at positions 28 to 507 of the family's 1533-position model. The record is from RNAcentral.
GGCUAACGCUGGCGGCGUGUCUUAGCCAUGCAAGUCGAGCGGACUUAUGGGGGUAACUUAUAAGUCAGCGGCGGACGGCGGAGUAACACGUAGCUAACCUACCCUCUGGACGGGGGAUAACCUACCGAAAGGUGGGCUAAUACCCGAUGUAGUCAUCCUGUAUAGGGGUGAUGAAAGGUGGGCUUCUGUUUACAAGCUCAUGCUGGAGGAGGGGGCUGCGGCCUAUCAGGUAGUUGGUAGGGUAAUAGCCUACCAAGCCGAUGACGGUAGCCGGCCUGAGAGGGUGACCGGCCCGAGGGGCACUGAGAUACGGGUCCCACUCCUACGGGAGGCAGCAGGCUAGAAAUUUGGGCAAUGGGGAAACCCUGGACCCAGUGACGCCGCGUGCAGGAAGAGCCCUUCGGGGUGUAAACUGCUGUCGUGUAGGGAGAAGGGUACUAAGGUGAACAAUCUUAGUACUUGACGGUACUACAGGAGGAAGCCCAGGCUAACUCGUG